This 395-nucleotide ribosomal RNA is filed under the name uncultured bacterium. RNAcentral describes it as "partial 16S ribosomal RNA". It matches the Rfam family "Bacterial small subunit ribosomal RNA", at positions 523 to 918 of the family's 1533-position model. The record is from RNAcentral.
AUACGUAGGGUGCAAGCGUUAAUCGGAAUUACUGGGCGUAAAGCGUGCGCAGGCGGUUUUGUAAGACAGUGGUGAAAUCCCCGGGCUCAACCUGGGAACUGCCAUUGUGACUGCAAGGCUGGAGUGCGGCAGAGGGGGAUGGAAUUUCGCGUGUAGCAGUGAAAUGCGUAGAUAUGCGGAGGAACACCGAUGGCGAAGGCAAUCCCCUGGGCCUGCACUGACGCUCAUGCACGAAAGCGUGGGGAGCAAACAGGAUUAGAUACCCUGGUAGUCCACGCCCUAAACGAUGUCAACUGGUUGUUGGGGAUUUAUUUUCUCAGUAACGAAGCUAACGCGUGAAGUUGACCGCCUGGGGAGUACGGCCGCAAGGUUAAAACUCAAAGGAAUUGACGGGG